RNAcentral lists this long non-coding RNA (1168 nucleotides) under Linum usitatissimum (flax). RNAcentral describes it as "long non-coding RNA (LUSI_LNC007806)". The record is from RNAcentral. Lineage: Eukaryota; Viridiplantae; Streptophyta; Magnoliopsida; Malpighiales; Linaceae.
AGCGAUUUUCCAGAUAACAGAAAGCCCCAGAGGAGCGCACCUAUAAUGGGAACCCACUGAUGUCGGCGAUUAGAACGUCGAGGAAACCAGACUCAGGGUGAGAGGUUUUCCACACGCCACACGCGCCUGCAAGGAAUCUCCAACUUUAAUGUAAUUAGAUUCCAUAUUUUCCGUUCAAAUUUGUAUCAUUGAAAUUGGUCUUAAUCACGACACAAAAUUACAAACCUGUCCUCACUUAAUUAUCGAUACCCUUAUCUUCUCAUCUUCUUUUCAAUUAGAAACACAUUGCAGCUUGCCCUAUGAACUUUGAGUUCAUGAACCUCAAUCAGCUAAUGACAGUGGAAGUAUGAGUUUAUACAAUUCAAAAGCAACCAUGAAUCUGAAGCAUGAGUUUACAGACAGUUAAAAAACAACCAUGUUCGAUCCAGAUCAGAAACAUAAGAAAUAUGAACUCCACAACACAAAGAAACUGCGUUGGGUUUUUAUUAUCUUCAUCUUUUCUCUUCCUCGCCAUUGCUGCAAAAAAGAAACAUAUGUGAAACUUGACAAAAAAUUUCCACGUACAAGGAGACUUGCAGCCAAUUUGAAAUAUUCAUAACCCCAGAAUCACAGUGCAACUCAUUGUGGAAUUUGAUUUGUAAUGAGAAAGAGAGCUUCCAACUGAAAUCGAAAACCGUAAACUAGAAAAAGAAACUGAAAUCGAAAACCCUAAACAAGAAUUCCAAACUGAAAUCAAAACCCAGCCGAUGCCGUGUCGAGUUCUCUGUUACCGAAGGAAGAAGUCUGACGAACGAGAUGACACAAGCUGGAAAAAAUGAGACCAACGAGCUACAAGGAAGAGGUCCGACGAGCACUACUGUUCAUUUCCUUGAUAGAUGAUUGAGGUCCGACCAGCCAAGUUCUUCCGAGUCGAUAAUUUUGCUCGGAGUUCUCGACCACGGUUGCUGGGUUCUCGAUGGUGAUGGACGAUUCAUUGAUUCACAGUUUUUGGGGCCUGGGAGUAUCGAUAGAUUGGUCAACCAGCAUCGACGGAGCUGGAUCUAAUGUUGGUGGCGCUGGGCAAAGAGGGAGGGAAGAAGGAAACUGGAAAAGAAGAGGAGCUGAAGUCGGUGAUUUUAUUGGGCAGAUUUAUUUUUGAGAGGCUGCAAAUGAAUGGGAUUUGGUAAAG